This 253-nucleotide ribosomal RNA is filed under the name uncultured bacterium. RNAcentral describes it as "partial 16S ribosomal RNA". It matches the Rfam family "Bacterial small subunit ribosomal RNA", at positions 524 to 776 of the family's 1533-position model. The record is from RNAcentral.
UACGGAGGGUGCAAGCGUUAAUCGGAAUUACUGGGCGUAAAGCGCGCGUAGGCGGCUUUGUAAGUCGGAUGUGAAAGCCCCGGGCUUAACCUGGGAAUUGCAUUCGAUACUGCAUAGCUAGAGUAUGGUAGAGGGUAGCGGAAUUCCGGGUGUAGCGGUGAAAUGCGUAGAUAUCCGGAGGAACACCAGUGGCGAAGGCGGCUACCUGGACCAAUACUGACGCUGAGGUGCGAAAGCGUGGGGAGCAAACAGG